GGGGCUGUAGCUCAGUGGUAAAGCGCUUGCCUGGCAUGCAUGAGGCACUGGGUUCAAUCUUCAGCACCA
This 69-nucleotide transfer RNA is filed under the name Ictidomys tridecemlineatus (thirteen-lined ground squirrel). RNAcentral describes it as "Spermophilus tridecemlineatus (thirteen-lined ground squirrel) tRNA". It matches the Rfam family "tRNA". Rfam says of the family: Transfer RNA (tRNA) molecules are approximately 80 nucleotides in length. Their secondary structure includes four short double-helical elements and three loops (D, anti-codon, and T loops). Lineage: Eukaryota; Metazoa; Chordata; Mammalia; Rodentia; Sciuridae. The record is from Rfam by way of RNAcentral.